RNAcentral lists this ribosomal RNA (242 nucleotides) under uncultured bacterium. RNAcentral describes it as "partial 16S ribosomal RNA". It matches the Rfam family "Bacterial small subunit ribosomal RNA", at positions 99 to 334 of the family's 1533-position model. The record is from RNAcentral.
CGAACGGGUGAGUAACACGUGGAUAACCUACCUAAUACAAAGGGAUAAGAACUAGAAAUGGUUACUAAGACCUUAUAAGCUUCAGGUAUCGCAUGAUACAGGGGGAAAAAGAUUCGAAAGGAUUGGUAAUAGAGGGGUCCGCGUCUGAUUAGCAAGUUGGUGAGGUAAAGGCUCACCAAGGCAAUGAUCGGUAGCCGGCCUGAGAGGGUGUACGGCCACAUUGGGACUGAGACACGGCCCAA